AGUCGUACGAGAAAGUCCCCGCAAGGGAUGAGUAAAGUGGCGCACGGGUGAGUAACACGUGGGUAACCUGCCCUUGAAUUGGGGAUAACUCCGCGAAAGCGGGGCUAAUACCGAAUAAUAUGUCCGCUCCCCCGGGAGUGGAUAUCAAAGAUGGCCUCUACAUGUAAGCUAUUGUUCAAGGAUGGGCCCGCGUACCAUUAGCUUGUUGGUAGGGUAACGGCCUACCAAGGCUGCGAUGGUUAGCUGGUCUGAGAGGAUGGCCAGCCACACUGGAACUGAGACACGGUCCAGACUCCUACGGGAGGCAGCAGUGGGGAAUCUUGCGCAAUGGGGGAAACCCUGACGCAGCAACGCCGCGUGGGUGAUGAAGGCCUUCGGGUCGUAAAGCCCUGUCAAGUGGAAAGAAACGUGACAAUGCCAAUAUCAUUGUCAUUUGACGGUACCACUGGAGGAAGCACCGGCUAACUCCGUGCCAGCAGCCGCGGUAAUACGGAGGGUGCAAGCGUUGUUCGGAAUUAUCGGGCGUAAAGCGCGUGUAGGCGGUCG
Molecule: ribosomal RNA, 546 nt
Filed under: uncultured bacterium
Lineage: Bacteria
Description: bacterial SSU rRNA
Rfam family: Bacterial small subunit ribosomal RNA
Source: RNAcentral